CAGCCGCCGCGGUAAUACAGAGGGUGCAAGCGUUAAUCGGAAUUACUGGGCGUAAAGCGCGCGUAGGUGGUUUGUUAAGUUGGAUGUGAAAUCCCCGGGCUCAACCUGGGAACUGCAUCCAAAACUGGCAAGCUAGAGUAUGGUAGAGGGUGGUGGAAUUUCCUGUGUAGCGGUGAAAUGCGUAGAUAUAGGAAGGAACACCAGUGGCGAAGGCGACCACCUGGACUGAUACUGACACUGAGGUGCGAAUGCGUGGGGAGCAAACAGGAUUAGAUACCCCAGUAGUCCCUGUCUCUUAUAC
This 301-nucleotide ribosomal RNA is filed under the name uncultured bacterium. RNAcentral's name for it is "partial 16S ribosomal RNA". It matches the Rfam family "Bacterial small subunit ribosomal RNA", at positions 509 to 807 of the family's 1533-position model. The record is from RNAcentral.